ACGUUUAACUUGUGAGAGGUUAUACCUGGGUCGAAUGCCCUUCAUAUCCAAGCUCGUCCAUGUGAAAGUCAACAUGUUUUGCUUCAGUAAGUUGCCGACUGUCUGUUGCAUCUGGUCGGACAGAUAAGCGCCGAUUCUGACCAAUUUGCUCGGGUUGGUUUCGUCGAUCAGAAUCUCGAGUAUUUCAUCCUUUUGGGGGUGGAUGUUAUGUAUCUGCUUUGAGAUUGC
RNAcentral lists this long non-coding RNA (228 nucleotides) under Brassica napus (rape). RNAcentral's name for it is "long non-coding RNA (BNAP_LNC000326)". Lineage: Eukaryota; Viridiplantae; Streptophyta; Magnoliopsida; Brassicales; Brassicaceae. The record is from RNAcentral.